CAGAGAUGAGGCUUGCUGGAUACUAUCGUCUUUUGGCAGCAUGAUGCUGGUGAGGUGUGGUCUUGCAAUCUGGAAGAAAUCAAGGGAGCACUGAUGGAAAAUCACAAACAAUUCUUAUGCCCUGCGUGAAGAAAUAUAUCUGAGGAAUAUACUUGUGUGGAGAGAAUAUUAGUCAAAUAAAUGAGUGAAGUCCGGUGGAAGGAGUCUGAGGGACCUGUAGUCUGCAUGAUGGAUGGAACACAUGAGCCAUCUCCCCCGGUCCACCAAAUCUACCAUGAAGUGACAGAAGUUUAAAUCCACCCAACAGAGGAAAGAGACAUGAAAUGCAAAAGAGAGAUGCCACCAGAAGGCACUCGUAAAGGAGGGAAAGCCCAAAAAUGAGUGUGCUUACAUGAGGAAAGAUAAAAGGAAACAUAGAUUCUUGCCGAUGAAUGUGAGAAAGAAUUAGGCACAACCUGCUCUAGAAGUAGUGCAAAUGGAGUUGAAAAUUCGGGUCUGUAAUUGAGGCAUUAGAUCCAAGACACCUCCUCCAAUCAGCUCAGCUGUGAAUACUUCAGCAACUCUGGCAGAAGGUUGAA
Tupaia belangeri chinensis (Chinese tree shrew) is the source of this 578-nucleotide long non-coding RNA. RefSeq lists it as uncharacterized. The record is from RefSeq and is a predicted model, not a curated record. The transcript has 3 exons. NCBI's taxonomy places the organism in Eukaryota, Metazoa, Chordata, Mammalia, Scandentia, Tupaiidae.